GUGAGGAUCAACCAGCCUGACUUUUAUCUCAUGCAAAGGAUCAAACUAUGUGGGACCUGAAAGGACAGGAGCCCAUGGGCACCCUUAAGAGAGAAGGGAGAUGGAGAACACAGUAGGCCAGGGAAGCCCAGAACGAGAACUCGUAGCUUUACUGUUGCCUUCUUCAGAACUACAGGCCAUGCUCUCAGCCUGCCACACUUUACCUGGAUGGUACCCUGACAAAAAUAUAACACUGAGACACUUGGCUCCAUUUAAGAGCAGUUGUUCAACAUCAGGGAAAGGGAGACAUGCUCCAGCUAUCUUUGGGCUAGUUAAGAAAUAUGAUAAUAAAACAAAAUUAGUGCAACUUACCUUUAGCCAGAACUUUAGGAGGUGGCAGCUCUGACUUUGGUGAGGAUGACUUGUUGAGUGAAGUGGGAACUUACUACAGGGUCACUAAGACAGUCACACCAGUUAGAGAAGUUGGUGGUGCCCAGUGAACUCUGGUUCCCACCAUAAAUAAGUCACUGCCGUGGAUCUUCUGGUUAUGGUUCCCUCACUACUAAUCACAGAUGGAAAAUGGACUCUACAAUUAAGCUGUUAAACCACUCUGCUUUUGUUUGGAACUAUGUUGUGUCCUUGGGACAGUUUCAGCUUCAAGUAAGGGAGACAUGAGUUCGAUUGCUGGGUCGGAAAGAGCCCCUGGAGAAGGAAACGGCAACACACUCUAGUAUUCUUGCCUGGGAAAUCCCAUGGACAAGGAACGUGGCUGGCUACAAUUUAUGGAAUCUCAAAACAGUCAGACACAGAUGAGCGAUUAAACAACUCUUAUUUAAGUACUUCUGUCACCUGGAGAUGCUGCUUCCCCUUAGCCUCUGAGUCUUUUAAUAUGUUAUUCCCUCUGCCUGGAACACAGUUUUUGACGGCCAACGAAAUGCCAACAGUUGGCAUUUGAAUCAUUGUGGUGAUUAAUUUUAUGUGUCAUCUUGAUUGGGCUAAGGGGUGCCCAGAUAACCUGUGAAACAUUUCUGGAUAUGUCUGCAAGGAUGUUUCUGAAAGAGAUAAGCACUGAAUUUGUAGACUGAGUAAAGAAAAACACAUUCCCCAGUGUGGGAGGACAUCAGCCAGUUGGUUGAAGACAUGAAUAGAAAAAAAGACUGAGGAAGGGUGAAGUUGCUGUAUGCUUGGACAGCCAUCUUCUUCUUUCUUCAGACAUAGGUAUUCCUGGUUCUCAGACUUUUAGAUUUGGACUGCCUUAUCCUUUCUUCCCCUAGCUUCCCUUGUUCUCUAGCUUGCAGAUGGCAGGCCAUGGAGCUUUUCAGUCUCCAUAAUUGUAUGACCAUUACUUACAAUAAAUCUCCUCAUACAUAAUUUAUUAGUUCUGUUUCUCUAGAGAACCCUGACUAAUACAGAUGUCAAUACAGAUAUGUCUUAGGUUCCUUUACUUGUAUAUAAUACCAAAAAAAACCAACCCUCAUAUACACACAUCCAGAUCCAACUCAUAAGCUUCUUUUAUUGCCAGCUCCCUCACCCAGAAAGAUUAAAAUUCCCUGGUGCCCGCAGGCUUGGCCUAAAGAAGAGACACCAGGCUUCCUUUUCGUGCAGCCCUUUGGGUGUAGCUGCUGUUCCCGUUGAUCCCUGCUCUAUGUGUGCCCAACUGGUUUACCUCUUUGAUUCAACCUCAUCUGUUAUUUACACACAUUCAAACGAGCACUUAACAAUAGUGGUCAUAGCAGUCCCUUAGGUUUUUCAGUCCUAGAAAUUUCUACUUAUUUAGCCAAUGUCUUCUAAUCAUCUAAAAGGAGACUCAGCUCAUAAUUAAUAAAAAUUGAAAAAGCCAGGUCCUAAAGGAAUUUCUCAAGAUUUCUACUGAUUCAGCAUUCUUCACUCGCCCACUGCAGACCAGUCACAUUUCACUUAUCCCAGGGCCCUUAAUUUUGAUGUUUCUUCUUCCUGGAAGAUUUCCCUGUGUCCCUCACCCUUGGUCUUGCUGGGUUCCCCCACCAAGGAUUCCUAAAUACCUUUUACUUCCCUGUGACCUUCUCUGUGCUAGACUAUCUCUUGUCUGUGCUCUGAGCUUCCUCAAGGCAGAGUGUGUAUUUGUCAAGGCUCUCGCUAUAUCCAUAGGACCUGGCAUAUGGUAGCUGCAUGAUAAAUAGAGCUGAACAAAUAAAUAAAACAAACUGUGGCGAGAAUAGAGCUUGCAUUAAAAGUUUAUCUCCACUUUCCCCCUUUAUCCCCAGGAGACCCCAUCCUCCAGAAUUUAAAGAAGAAAGUUGAACCCUUCUCACUUUAAGCCUAUCUUAAAAGCUGCUUUUAGAAACUCCAGUGCACACUCACACACCAUUAUAUGUUAUUUUAGGCUGGUGUAAUAAUAAAACUGUCAAUCCUAUGAAUAAGAACUGUUUCUUUACUUGGAUUCUUGCUCAUGUUCGUGUAUAUUUAUGUAUUACUAGAAAAGCAGCAUUCUUAAGAUUUCUUAGAUUGUUUUGAUAAGAUGUGACUCUACUUUUCCCAGCCUUUCUUAUUAUAAGAAUCUUUAACAAGCGCUUUAAACAGUUUUGCACAUGCUACCUUACAUUUUCAUGUGAUGUAAAGUGUAGCAAAAUCCUUUUUUUUCUCCAAAGAAUUUUUCUUAAUAAUAUUUAAAUAAUGUAAGUGUUUCUGCUUUUGUAAUGCUCUCUGUGCAAAUAGAAUAGUUGCCAAUGUUUAUCAUGGGAAGCACACCAAUUCUUUGGUUUCUGGUGAGGGAUAAUUACAAUGAUUAUUAUUUAUAGGGCAAAAAAUUUAUACUAUAUAUCUUUAAUUUAAAAUGCUUCUUUAUUUAGGGGUGUUAGCU
Long non-coding RNA from Bos taurus (domestic cattle), 2818 nucleotides. The record is from Ensembl. Lineage: Eukaryota; Metazoa; Chordata; Mammalia; Artiodactyla; Bovidae.